Molecule: long non-coding RNA, 715 nt
Filed under: Zea mays
Lineage: Eukaryota; Viridiplantae; Streptophyta; Magnoliopsida; Poales; Poaceae
Description: long non-coding RNA (ZMAY_LNC002662)
Source: RNAcentral
UCAUGAUUAAAAUAAUCCACGGAAAGAAAAUAUAUCACUGCAUUCAGUUUGCUUUCUAGUGUUCAGAUAUUUUGCACUUCCAAACCUCCACAUUUGUUCAUUCCAAAUGCAAAACAUGGAAUGUUUCUCGGUCAGCAGAAGAUAAAAUUUGUCACUGCAUCCACCAUUGCGAUCAGCAUAUUUGCAUUAUCCUCUACGAGGAAGGAAACAAUUAGACAGCAUGGGUCCACCAUUCUAAAUAACACCUGUCACAAAGGUUGUGAAGAGGAUGUGUCAAAUUUCUCUCCCACACAUGAUCACAAGAUGUACAAACAGAUAAAAUCUAAGCAAUAGAAAAUAAAAAACAGAUAAAUGCAAUAUAAAAAUGCAGGAGAUGGAAGCAAUAGGAAAUUAGGACACAGGUGCAAGCUUGUGGAGAGAGAAAGAAGUGAAGCACAUGGGGUUUCUCAAAGAGUAGAAGCCGUACUUUGUUGCCUAGUACAUAUGCUGACCUGCUUAUCGACUUUUGUAAUCCAGAAAAGACAUCUCACUGGCCUUGAUUGUCGGUGCGCCACUCGAUUGAAGCGUUUGAUAAAUGGAAAACUACAUAUAUUCCAAUAAUUAGAACAAGACAACUUGUCCAUGCUUCAUAACUGUUCUGGUUCUCUCUGGUGCCUUGUGUCUGCGUUCACUCUUAUCAACCGUAAACGUUCCUAGAAUUGGUACAAGCAAACAU